Molecule: small nuclear RNA, 149 nt
Filed under: Neogale vison (American mink)
Lineage: Eukaryota; Metazoa; Chordata; Mammalia; Carnivora; Mustelidae
Description: Neovison vison (American mink) U4 spliceosomal RNA (ENSNVIG00000017291.1)
Rfam family: U4 spliceosomal RNA
About the family: U4 small nuclear RNA (U4 snRNA) is a component of the major U2-dependent spliceosome. The structure of U4 snRNA from yeast and human has been reported.
Source: Rfam by way of RNAcentral
AGCUUAGCACAGUAGCAAUAUUGUAGCCAGUGAGGUUUAUCAGAGGCACAAUACUUUCUAAUUGAAAACUUUUCCCAAUACCCUGCCUUAAGGACUUGAAACAAAGAUAAGUCUCUCAGUCCCUUCAUUUGUAAAAGGGGGAUAAACUC